UAUACAAAAUUGCAAGUCACACAUUUUCGUUUCAUAAAACUCUUUAAUCGGCCAGUCCACAUUUAUUUAUGUCUAUGGUUUUCUUUUACUUUAUUAAACAUGGCAAAAAGUACAAGAUAAUACUUCCGUUUUUAAGCACUAUUGAAACUCUUUUUGUGUACACCUAUCAACAGCGCAUCUUGCUAUAAAAGGAUCUUUUUGUUUUGUCAACAACAAUACUAUAGAGGCCCACAUGAAGUCAAAUACGUAUCUAUGUGUGUUCAAAUGUAUACAGAGAUAAUGAAAUGUUAUUCUUUCGAAUGUGAAAUGAAACUGACCGCCAAGAAACUUGAUUUUCCCAACAGUUUCUUCCCUCAAGAAUCGCUUUAACACAUUAAAUAUCACUGAGAAUAUUUUUGGAGCUGAAAUAGGGAGAGAAAUAUGUCAAUGGAAAAACUGAAGAGUCUGCAAAUAAAAAUAAUUUAUAAAUGUCAGUGAUAAAAAUAGUAAAACUGAUGAAGGUUAAA
Long non-coding RNA from Biomphalaria glabrata, 506 nucleotides. RefSeq lists it as uncharacterized. NCBI's taxonomy places the organism in Eukaryota, Metazoa, Mollusca, Gastropoda, Planorbidae. The transcript has 2 exons. The record is from RefSeq and is a predicted model, not a curated record.